Long non-coding RNA from Amphimedon queenslandica, 345 nucleotides. RefSeq lists it as uncharacterized. NCBI's taxonomy places the organism in Eukaryota, Metazoa, Porifera, Demospongiae, Haplosclerida, Niphatidae. The transcript is spliced from 3 exons. The record is from RefSeq and is a predicted model, not a curated record.
UUUGUUAGUAGAUACAAUGUCUCACUGGUUCCGUCACAUUGCAGAGGGAGAGCCUUGUGAUACUUACCUUAAACUAUCAUCAGGUGAUCUGGCUAGACCUCUGAGAUGAUAGAGACACAGUGGAGCACCUUUGACAAGAUGAUGCUCUCUGUGUCCAGAACCUUCAAUCUAUUGCUGACUAUAUUCACUCAGCAGGGGAUUUAUUGACAAGAGUAGAGGAAGCUGUUGAGAGGUUCUUGUAUUGGGACGAAGAAGUAAUGGUAUGAAGCAGUUACUUCAAGUCCCAGUAGUCAUGAUGCCCCAGUCACUGGUGGAGUAGCAGAUGAAGUGUUUGAUGACAGUGGU